GACGAACGCUGGCGGCGUGCUUAACACAUGCAAGUCGUACGGUAAGGCCCUUUCGGGGGUACACGAGUGGCGAACGGGUGAGUAACACGUGAGUAACCUGCCCACAACUUUGGGAUAACGCUAGGAAACUGGUGCUAAUACUGGAUAUGUGCUCCUGCUGCAUGGUGGGGGUUGGAAAGCUCCGGCGGUUGUGGAUGGACUCGCGGCCUAUCAGCUUGUUGGUGGGGUAGUGGCCUACCAAGGCGGCGACGGGUAGCCGGCCUGAGAGGGUGACCGGCCACAGUGGGACUGAGAUACGACCCAGACGCCUACGGGAGGCAGCAGUGGGGAAUAUUGCACAAUGGGCGCAAGCCGGAUGCAGCAACGCCGCGUGCGGGAUGACGGCCUUCGGGUUGUAAACCGCUUUCAGCAGGGACGAAGCUUUUUGUGACGGUACCUGCAGAAGAAGCACCGGCUAACUACGUG
Molecule: ribosomal RNA, 465 nt
Filed under: uncultured bacterium
Lineage: Bacteria
Description: partial 16S ribosomal RNA
Rfam family: Bacterial small subunit ribosomal RNA
Source: RNAcentral